This 465-nucleotide ribosomal RNA is filed under the name uncultured bacterium. RNAcentral's name for it is "partial 16S ribosomal RNA". It matches the Rfam family "Bacterial small subunit ribosomal RNA", at positions 28 to 507 of the family's 1533-position model. The record is from RNAcentral.
GACGAACGCUGGCGGCGUGCUUAACACAUGCAAGUCGAACGGAAAGGCCCUGCUUGCGGGGUACUCGAGUGGCGAACGGGUGAGUAACACGUGGGUGAUCUGCCCUGCACUUCGGGAUAAGCCUGGGAAACUGGGUCUAAUACCGGAUAGGAGCCAUUUUUAGUGUGAUGGUUGGAAAGUUUUUUCGGUGUAGGAUGAGCUCGCGGCCUAUCAGCUUGUUGGUGGGGUAAUGGCCUACCAAGGCGGCGACGGGUAGCCGGCCUGAGAGGGUGGACGGCCACAUUGGGACUGAGAUACGGCCCAGACUCCUACGGGAGGCAUCAGUGGGGAAUAUUGCACAAUGGGCGCAAGCCUGAUGCAGCGACGCCGCGUGGGGGAUGACGGCCUUCGGGUUGUAAACUCCUUUCGCUAGGGACGAAGCUUUUUGUGACGGUACCUAGAUAAGAAGCACCGGCUAACUACGUG